Molecule: long non-coding RNA, 1379 nt
Filed under: Piliocolobus tephrosceles (Ugandan red Colobus)
Lineage: Eukaryota; Metazoa; Chordata; Mammalia; Primates; Cercopithecidae
Description: lncRNA (ENSPTEG00000016675.1)
Source: RNAcentral
UGGGAAUGUAUUAUAAUAUUAAUAAAGACUCUUAAAAAAAAAAAAAAAAUGAACACUAAAAAAGAUUUUCAUUUAUAUAUGAUAGAAAAUAAGAAUAAAUAAAAUAAAAAAAUUAAAAUAAUAAAAUAGCUACAUUUGUGAUCACCCAUUAAAAAAAUAAAGAAAUGCAAACAAUUAGAACAAUUAUUUUAUUUUUUAUCAUAUAUUUUACCUUUUAUUUUGUCCAGUCAAAAGAUGGUAACAUAGAUAAUAUUGUAUUUAUAGAAGAAUCAGAUGAAUAUGGAGACGACUAUAUAGAUUUAACUAAUAAUGCACAAGCUAAAAAUGUCGAGCACAAGUACAAAAAUGCAGUAAUAAGAGAAAUGUAUUCCUGGGUAGGGGAUAAUGAAGAAUUAUUUUACCUUAAAAUAGCUAUUUUUAUUUGUGUUUUAAUUGCUGUGAUUAUUAAUGGUGUAAUAGGUAAAAAAACGAAUAGAAAAAUCGCUUUAUUUUGGCUAAGGUCAUGUAAAGAUAUUUUUUUAGAACAGUUUGCGAAAUUAGGACAUGACAAAUAUUUUUUAUUAGAGAAAUCAUAUGACAAUUAUGAGUUAUAUUGUAGUGGGCGCAAAAAUUGUAAUUAUUAUUCUGUUAAUUUAGAUUUAAGUAAAAGACAAUGUUUAUGGAGAUAUUAUUUUUUUAAUUAUUUUGUUAAACAGAAUGAUACAAUGAGUAUUGCUAUUAAUUUUGACAAGUUAGAUAAAGUUUUUUUUUGUGUUUAUAAGAAACAUCAAAAAAAAAAAAUUGAAACUCGUUUCCCAAAUUUAAAUAAAUAUACAAAAUUUAUGAAUAAGAAAGAAUUAAAGCAACUUUACGAAAUCAAAGCAGAUUCGUCGGAAAUAACAGAUUUAGUUUUGAGUGGUUACAUUUUAAAUUUUUUAAAUAAUAAUGAAAAAUAUAUAAAUUAUAUAUGUAUCAGUGAUAUCCCAUUUGACGAAAAUGAAGAAGAAACUAGUUCUGUGAAAAAAGAAGAAAUAAAAGAAGAUAAAAAGGAAGGGAAAAAAGAAGAAAAACAAGAAAACAUUAAUAAAAAAAAUUCAAAACAUAAAUUUUGCAUUUUAAAUUUAAUUAUACCACAAAACGAAAAUGAACUGCAAACGUUAAUCAAGUUUUCUAUUUAUAUGAUUGACGCUUGUGCUAGUAUUGAAUUGCCAGAUAAAGUUAGAGAACAUGUCAAAAAAUUAAGAAGUAUUAUUGAUAAAGAAGACGAAAAAAAAAAACAAGAGUUAAAGGAAUUACAAGAAAAAAAAAGGAUUCAAAAAAUACAAGAAGAAAAAGAAAAAAUUGAUAAAAUGCCAGCAGAACAACAAAGAAAAUAUGAAGAAAAAAAACAAAAAAAAAGU